Molecule: ribosomal RNA, 815 nt
Filed under: uncultured Bacteroidota bacterium
Lineage: Bacteria; Pseudomonadati; Bacteroidota
Description: bacterial SSU rRNA
Rfam family: Bacterial small subunit ribosomal RNA
Source: RNAcentral
GUCGAGGGGGCAGCAAUGUCACCGGCGAACGGGUGCGUAACGCGUAUGCAACCUACCUACAUCAGGGGGAUAGCCCUAGGAAACUGGGAUUAACACCGCAUAACAAUAGAGUUGGCAUCAACUUUAUUUGAAAUAUUUAUAGGAUGUAGAUGGGCAUGCGUAGGAUUAGCUAGUUGGUAAGGUAACGGCUUACCAAGGCUACGAUCCUUAGGGGCUCUGAGAGGAGUAUCCCCCACACUGGCACUGAGAUACGGGCCAGACUCCUACGGGAGGCAGCAGUAGGGAAUAUUGGGCAAUGGAGGCAACUCUGACCCAGCCAUGCCGCGUGCAGGAAGACGGUCCUCUGGAUUGUAAACUGCUUUUGAAUGGGAAGAAUGUGAUGCUUGCGAGCGUUAAUGACGGUACCAUUAGAAUAAGCCACGGCUAACUACGUGCCAGCAGCCGCGGUAAUACGUAGGUGGCGAGCGUUAUCCGGAUUUAUUGGGUUUAAAGGGUGCGUAGGCGGCUUAAUAAGUCGGUGGUUAAAAGUAGCAGCUUAACUGUUUUACAUGCCAUCGAUACUGUUGAGCUUGAGAUAUUUGGAGGCAGCUAGAAUUUCCGGUGUAGCGGUGAAAUGCAUAGAUACCGGAAGGAAUACCAAUUGCGAAGGCAGGUUGCUACGAAUAAACUGACGCUGAUGCACGAAAGCGUGGGGAUCAAACAGGAUUAGAUACCCUGGUAGUCCACGCCGUAAACGAUGAUUACUAGUUGUUGGGGUUUAAGCUUCAGUGACCAAGGGAAACCGAUAAGUAAUCCACCUGGGGAGUACGCCGGCA